RNAcentral lists this ribosomal RNA (253 nucleotides) under uncultured bacterium. RNAcentral's name for it is "partial 16S ribosomal RNA". It matches the Rfam family "Bacterial small subunit ribosomal RNA", at positions 524 to 776 of the family's 1533-position model. The record is from RNAcentral.
UACGUAGGGUGCGAGCGUUGUCCGGAAUCACUGGGCGUAAAGGGCGCGUAGGCGGCUUGGGACGUCUGUGGUGAAAGCUCGUGGCUCAACUGCGAGUCGGCCAUAGAUACUCCUAAGCUCGAGUCGACUAGAGGCAGAUGGAAUUCCGGGUGUAGCGGUGGAAUGCGUAGAGAUCCGGAAGAACACCGGAGGCGAAGGCGGCUUGCUGGGCUUGGUCUGACGCUGAGGCGCGAAAGCGUGGGGAGCGAACAGG